This 511-nucleotide ribosomal RNA is filed under the name uncultured bacterium. RNAcentral's name for it is "partial 16S ribosomal RNA". It matches the Rfam family "Bacterial small subunit ribosomal RNA", at positions 29 to 523 of the family's 1533-position model. The record is from RNAcentral.
AGUGAACGCUGGCGGUAGGCCUAACACAUGCAAGUCGAACGGCAGCACAAGAGAGCUUGCUCUCUGGGUGGCGAGUGGCGGACGGGUGAGGAAUACAUCGGAAUCUACUCUGUCGUGGGGGAUAACGUAGGGAAACUUACGCUAAUACCGCAUACGACCUACGGGUGAAAGCAGGGGACCUUCGGGCCUUGCGCGAUUGAAUGAGCCGAUGUCGGAUUAGCUAGCGUAGUUGGCGGGGCAAAGGCCCACCAAGGCGACGAUCCGUAGCUGGUCUGAGAGGAUGAUCAGCCAAACUGGAACUGAGACACGGUCCAGACUCCUACGGGAGGCAGCAGUGGGGAAUAUAGGACAAUGGGCGCAAGCCUGAUCCAGCCAUACCGCGUGGGUGAAGAAGGCCUUCGGGUUGUAAAGCCCUUUUGUUGGGAAAGAAAUCCAGCUGGCUAAUACCCGGUUGGGAUGACGGUACCCAAAGAAUAAGCACCGGCUAACUUCGUGCCAGCCGCCGCCGUAA